Molecule: unclassified non-coding RNA, 354 nt
Filed under: Hevea brasiliensis (rubber tree)
Lineage: Eukaryota; Viridiplantae; Streptophyta; Magnoliopsida; Malpighiales; Euphorbiaceae
Source: RNAcentral
GUUCCCACAUUAAUCACCUACAAGAUUUUAGCAGUUCAUUUUUAUCAAAUAUCUCUGGGAACAUUAAAUAAGACAGCAUAGUCCUCAACAGCAAGGGAAAAUAAUAUAAUAUUACAAGAUUGUUUUGCCAGAUAACAUGCAAAAGAGAAAUAGCUUUAGAGAACUGAAAUCACUAAUUAGCUUGAGAGUUGAGAAAAGUUCAUAAAGACAUAAUCUUCUCAUAAAAGAAAUCCAUGUGAAAACAACUGGUGGAAAGGGCUGAAACUAAAUGUGCGCAUAACAUGUGCUGGGAAAAAGAAUGAGGGAAUGAAGGGAAAAGAUAGAGCACCAAGGGGGAAGAGAACCAUGAUAAGU